Molecule: ribosomal RNA, 193 nt
Filed under: uncultured bacterium
Lineage: Bacteria
Description: partial 16S ribosomal RNA
Rfam family: Bacterial small subunit ribosomal RNA
Source: RNAcentral
ACGCUCGACACCUACGGGGGCAGCAGUGGGGAAUAUUGCACAAUGGGGGAAACCCGUGAUGCAGCGACGCCGCGUGGAGGAAGAAGGUCUUCGGAUUGUAAACUCCUGUUGUUGGGGAAAAGAGGAUGGUACCCAACAAGGAAGUGACGGCUAACUACGUGCCAGUAGCNCGAGUAUNGNGGCGGNGNGAGAG